Molecule: small nucleolar RNA, 70 nt
Organism: Labrus bergylta (ballan wrasse)
Lineage: Eukaryota; Metazoa; Chordata; Actinopteri; Labriformes; Labridae
Gene: SNORD24
Rfam family: Small nucleolar RNA SNORD24
About the family: U24 is a member of the C/D class of snoRNA which contain the C (UGAUGA) and D (CUGA) box motifs. C/D box snoRNAs have been shown to act as methylation guides for a number of RNA targets.
Source: Ensembl
UGCAAAUGAUGUGAACGAAUAUUUGCUAUCUUAUUGACAGUGCUGACAUCCCACCAAGAUCACUGAUGCA